RNAcentral lists this ribosomal RNA (1685 nucleotides) under Setipinna tenuifilis (common hairfin anchovy). Its description in RNAcentral is "16S ribosomal RNA". It matches the Rfam family "Bacterial large subunit ribosomal RNA". Lineage: Eukaryota; Metazoa; Chordata; Actinopteri; Clupeiformes; Engraulidae. The record is from RNAcentral.
GCCACAAAGCUAGCUCAAACACCUUAAAUAAAAUAACAAUCUAUAUACCUACUCAUGUACAAAACACAAAUUAACUAAAUCAUUUUACCCCCCCAGUAUGGGCGACAGAAAAGGGAACACGAAGCCAUAGACAAAGUACCGCAAGGGAAAGCUGAAAAAGAAAUGAAAAACUCAUCAAAGCACAGAAAAGCAGAGAACUCCCCUCGUACCUUUUGCAUCAUGAUUCAGCCAGUAAAAUACAUGCAAAGAGACCUCUAGUUUGUAACCUCGAAACCCGACGAGCUACUUCGAGACAGCCUAUCCAGGGCCAACCCGUCUCUGUGGCAAAAGAGUGGGAAGAUCUCCAAGUAGAAGCAAAAGACCUACCGAGCCGGGUUAUAGCUAGUUGCCCAACAAAUGAAUAAAAGUUCAGCCCCGCUAGGCCCAAAUCACAACAGUUACACACCAAAAGACGAAGCGCCACUAGACGGGAGUUAGUCAGAGGAGGUACAGCUCCCCUGACCAAGGACACAACCUUUUAAGGAGAUUAAGGAAUACAUAAAAAUCAAGGCCACAGGCCUCAGUGGGCCUAAAAGCAGCCACCUGAACAGAAAGCGUUAAAGCUCAGACCAAAUAAAGCCUAUCAUCACAUUAACUACUCCAAAAUCCCCUAUCGCACUGGGCCUUUCUAUGCCCCCAUAGAAAAGACUAUGCUGAAAUGAGUAACAAGAAGACCGAACUUCUCCCCGCACAAACGUAAAUCGAAUUGGACCAUCCACCGAUAAUUAACGAACCCAAUAACAGAGGGCAAUACACCACCGCCACCGCAAACCAAGAAAACCGUGUUCUACACCAAUCGUUACCCCUACACAGGAGUGCUAAACCAAGGAAAGACUAAAAGAAAAAAAAGGAACUCGGCAAACCUAAACCCCGCCUGUUUACCAAAAACAUCGCCUCUUGCCCACACAGUAUAAGAGGUCCCACCUGCCCUGUGACUAAAAGUUUAACGGCCGCGGUAUCCUAACCGUGCGAAGGUAGCGCAAUCAAUUGCCUUUUAAAUGAAGGCCUGUAUGAAUGGUAUAACGAGGGUUUAACUGUCUCUUUUUUCCAGUCAGUUAAAUUGAUCUGCCCGUGCAGAAGCGGGCAUAAAACUACAAGACGAGAAGACCCUAUGGAGCUUUAGACACCAACCAAUUUACGAAAAGCAAUGAAAAACAUUAUAAACACCCGUAAAACUGGCACAACUGUCUUAGGUUGGGGCGACCGCGGGAGAAAAAAAAGCUCCCAAGCAGACAGGGCCACCCUGAAACUAAGAGUCACAACUCUAAGUCACAAAAAUUUUGACUGAAAUGAUCCGGCCAUGGCCGAUUAACGAACCAAGUUACCCUAGGGAUAACAGCGCAAUCCCCUCCCAGAGUCCAUAUCGACAAGGGGGUUUACGACCUCGAUGUUGGAUCAGGACAUCCUAAUAGUGCAGCCGCUAUUAAGGGUUCGUUUGUUCAACGAUUAAAGUCCUACGUGAUCUGAGUUCAGACCGGAGAAAUCCAGGUCGGUUUCUAUCUGUAAAACAAUCACUCCUAGUACGAAAGGACCGAAGUGAAAAGGCCUAUGUUAAAAGCAAGCCUUCCACCUAACUGUUGAAAACAACUAAAACAGGCAAAGGUGGGUACCCCCAGGCCUGAGAAAAAGGCCACCUAAUUAUUCGC